This 433-nucleotide unclassified non-coding RNA is filed under the name uncultured Mycena. RNAcentral's name for it is "sequence contains ITS2". The stretch from base 1 to 154 matches the Rfam family "5.8S ribosomal RNA". Lineage: Eukaryota; Fungi; Basidiomycota; Agaricomycetes; Agaricales; Tricholomataceae. The record is from RNAcentral.
AACUUUCAGCAAUGGAUCUCUUGGCACUCCCAUCGAUGAAGAACGCAGCGAAAUGCGAUAAGUAAUGUGAAUUGCAGAAUUCAGUGAAUCAUCGAAUCUUUGAACGCACCUUGCGCCCUUUGGUAUUCCGAAGGGCAUGCCUGUUUGAGUGUCAUUAAAUUCUCAACCUUGCAAGCUUUUUCUAGCUUGCGAGGCUUGGAUGUGAGGGUUUUUGCUGGCUUCCUUCAGUUGGAUGGUCUGCCACCUUUACAUUCAUCACUCGAAUCCUUUGUUGACAUUCCCAUGGUCAGAUAAGUAUCUGCGCCACCUGUCUCCUAAACAAGACCUUGGUGAUCCGCGUUAUAACCGUCUCUUCGCAGACAAUCUUUGUCAAUUUGACUGCAAACCAGGUAGGACUACCCGCAGAACUGAAGCAUAUGAAUAAGCUAAGGCU